Non-coding RNA from Podarcis lilfordi (Lilford's wall lizard), 99 nucleotides. The record is from the annotation of a GenBank genome assembly. NCBI's taxonomy places the organism in Eukaryota, Metazoa, Chordata, Lepidosauria, Squamata, Lacertidae.
CUCUUUCUCUCUCUCUCUCUCACCCUCAGCUCUUUUGCUUUUCCUGGGUCUUGUGAGAGAAGGAGGGGGGUGGAGGGAGAGAGAGAGAGAGAGAGAGAG